RNAcentral lists this long non-coding RNA (1342 nucleotides) under Heterocephalus glaber (naked mole-rat). Its description in RNAcentral is "lncRNA (ENSHGLG00000038985.1)". Lineage: Eukaryota; Metazoa; Chordata; Mammalia; Rodentia; Bathyergidae. The record is from RNAcentral.
GAAAUUCUUUUUACUCUUAGAAUAUUGUUAAUAUUAGACUUCCUGUUAUAUUAUAUCUUUUGUACUUCUUACAUUUAUAUAGUGCCUAAUACUUUCCUGACUUCUUUCACAUAUACGGAUCUUUGUGAGAUGGUAGAUGCUUUAUUCUGAUAGAUCCAGUUUUCUCCUGUUGGCAAAACCAACAUUAGAUUGGUGAAAUGACAGGAUUAGAAGUGGAUGAGGAAAAUAAGGCACAGAGAGGUUAAGUAGGGUCAAAGAAACCCAAACUCACACUACAAAAUAAUGGCAUCACCACUGUCCACCUUGAUCAUCAAGGGCUUGUCCAGAUCAGAACUGGAUUUGUCUUGCUAUGUAUAUGUCUGUCAGGAAAUUUAUACCUAUUAAAUUUUCAUUUUCUCUAAGUAGUCAUGUUAUUGUACUGGUGUUUAGCUAUAACCUUCUUCAUAACAAAUAGUGUUGUGAGGAACAGUGUAGUGUGAAGUUUGUACAUUUGGGGGAUAGUUAUAAAAUGUGAACUCAUGGGAUGAGAAUGUUCAAUGAGGAAAUGACCUCAAGUAAGUGAAUUUGCAUGUUGAAACCCAUAGAGAAUAUGACACACCAAGCAGUGCCCCCAGCCAUAGAGCACUUUAGGUAUAUUAAAUGGUUAUAUGGUUAUGGUGCAAAAAUUCAUUUAGGAAAUAUGUAUUUGAGCACUUAAUAUGUCUAUUUUUGCCCUAAAGGAAAAAAAAAAACUUGUUUUAACUACAGUUACUUUCCUAGAGCAUGUUUUAGAGUAAUGUGUUUUGAUGCAUGUACAUUGUAUUUUAGGUAUGCAGAGAAACAAAUCGGAUUUAUUUACGUAAAAAUUAAAGUUAGUGGAUUUAUUACUCUUUAAAUCAUUAGUGUUUAAAGUAGUGCUAGCACAUUAGAAAACAGCCUCCUUUUGGACAAAAUGAAUUCACUGCUUUUGAUGCAGUUUCCCCCUUUAGAAUUAAAAAAAAAAAAAGAUCCAACAUAUGUUGCAUGUGUUGCUGUUGUUUGACUGUCAGUUACUGGUGUCUUUGGUAUUGUGACCUCAUCUCUCAUGAAAGCAUAAUGCUGAAGUGGCCAGCUGUGGUGGCGCACGCCUGUAAUCCCAGCACUCGGGGCUGAGGCAGGUGGAUCGCUAGUUACACAGUGUCUGAGUGGUCAGAGUUUUAUCUUCUCCCCAUCUUCAACAUGAAGACAUCUAAGUCCCACCCCACUCCCAGCCAAAAGAUUUUUUUUUCUUUCUCUCUCUUUUUGUAAAAUUUCUAUCCUUGCAACUGAAUCCAGGGCUUUGCACAUGCCAGGCAAGUGCUCUCUCACUGAGCUACAUCUCCAC